CGGGGCCUCCGACUGCGCACCCGGCCAGGUUCCGGAGAGCGGGCAGGGAGCGCGGGCCGAGGCUGCCCUCGCGCCCCUGGCUGCCGGCCUAAGGGCUCGCUCGCACGCACGCCUCCGCUCGUCACCCUCGCCUUGCCGGCGUGCGGACAGGGCCUGCGGCGGUGGGAAAUCUGGGAAAUCGGAGCGCAGCGCAGGACCGCGCGGGAGGCCGGCGGGACGCAGCGCGCACAGACCCCGGGCUGCCCCGACAAAGCACCGUACAUGGCCUGGGCGGCUUAUUCCCGACAGACGUGGAUUUCCUGUUCCAAGGCUGGGCGUCCAAGCUGGGGUGCACCCGGCGGCCUGUGCUCGCUCCCCACUGCCAUCUCCUCACAUGGUGCGCUUGCCCUGUGACCAGUUGGGGGCAUGGGCCUCUGGCCCCCUGCAGUCAUCCUUUCGGUGUCCAGCACAGCAACAACCACAGACAUGGCAGGAAGGCCUGUAGCCAGGAGAGGGGACCCCAGCGCACCCCAGGAGCUGCCCCGGAGCAGCCCGCUCCCCAUGACUGCGGCCACAGAGACCGUGAGAAGCAGCGAGAGACACUGCUGAGGCCACUGCAUUCUAGCGUGGUUUGUUAGGCAGCCAGAAGCAACCAGAAGAAACCGGGUUUAUGUUUUAAAAAUAAACAUUUUAUUGAAACAUCACAGGGAAGGGACAGGGAAGCCCCCCGCCAGGGCAGCAGGCCCAUCAGGACGCAGCGUGUGCCCCUGGACGGCCCCCGGGGUGACCCCGCAGCCCACAGAGUGGCCUGGCAGGCGCAGAGGGAGACACAGCUCCCGGGCCAGUGUAGGUCUGCUCGCCCCUCCCUGUGGUGCACUAGGUCCCGUGGUGGCUGCCCUGAGCCUGGGCUCCCUGGUCCUCCUGGCCCGGUUGUGCUCCACGACGCAGUGGACACAGCUGUUGUCCCUUCUGCUGCAGUCACUGAGACCACCUGUGUGGGGUGUUUCUGCCGGGGGCUCAGGCCCUCGCCUGUGCACACCCCAGUCAGGGCUCGGUGCCCUCACUGCUGCCUCUCUCCCAGGGCCCUCGACGCUGCCACUACUGCCUGCUGGUGGCCUGGGCAGCUGGGCCAGCUGCCAAGUGACGCUGGCUCCUUUGGUUCCGAGUCAUGGACUUUAGAAGGUAGUACCCUGAGCCACAUGGGCGCCCCGCACCUGGCGCCCCACCUGGGAAAGCCCACCUGGUGUCCCCCACGGGUCUCUCAUGACCACAUGCAUCGGCGGGGCCUGGGGAGGCCCGGCCCGGGAGCGCUUUGUGCAGGGAGGAGUCCUAGGCCCCGGGCGACGGUGCCGGGUGGGAGACACUCAGAGCAGGGGGUAGACCCUCAACGCAGGACGCCGGGGUCAGGGCUGCUGCCCCAGGGGGUGCACGUGUACAUGGUCCUCGGCUUCUCGUGCCCACUCGAGGAGGCAGUUGGCCACACCUUCCAACUGCCAGCUUCCAAGACAGAGAAGACAGCGUCUGCUGUUUUAAGCCACCAGUCCAGGGGCUAAAUCCAGAUUUCUGUGCCUCAUCUUCCACAUAGGAAUAUAUGCAUGCUUUUGCUAAAUAAAGACAUAGCAUUAUAAGUCUGUAGGUAAUGAGUCAAAUUCAUUGACUUGUGUUAGAAAGAUAGGAUUUUCUUCGUGCAUUUUCUGUGCUGAUGCAGAUAGAAAACCAAGACCACAAAGGGCCCCUCUUGUUUUAAUUGUUUCAUUCCUUUAAACAACAAACACUGGCUGAAACAAACAGAAAAGUAUUUUUUUCAUGAACCAAACAGAAAGGGAUCAGUGCACUUAACUGAUCACCCGUUCCCACCAGCGUAGAGACAGACGCGGGCCUGAGACAGAGAUGUGGGGUGCGGCAUCUGGGUUUUGGGGUUUUCUCUUCUGAGGGAUGAGACAGGAGCCUUCCGAGAAAUGCACCCGGCGAGCCGCCCCAGGCCGCUGUGUCAGCCCUGCCGACUGCCUGAGGUAUGAGCUGAUCUCCGGCAGCUCUGCUUCGCCUG
Long non-coding RNA from Heterocephalus glaber (naked mole-rat), 2026 nucleotides. NCBI's taxonomy places the organism in Eukaryota, Metazoa, Chordata, Mammalia, Rodentia, Bathyergidae. The record is from Ensembl.